Molecule: unclassified non-coding RNA, 342 nt
Filed under: soil metagenome
Description: partial contains 5.8S ribosomal RNA, internal transcribed spacer 2, and large subunit ribosomal RNA
Rfam family: 5.8S ribosomal RNA (bases 1-120)
Source: RNAcentral
GAUGAAGAACGCAGUGAAAUGCGAUAAGUAAUGUGAAUUGUAGAAUUCAGUGAAUCAUCGAAUCUUUGAACGCACAUUGCGCCCGCCAGCACUCUGGCGGGCAUGCCUGUUCGAGCGUCAUUUCAACCAUCAAGCCCCCAGGGGCUUGUGCUGGGGCCCUGCGGCUGCCCGCAGGCCCUGAAAACCAGUGGCGGGCUCGCUAGUCACACCGAGCGCAGUAGCACAUCUCGCUCAGGGCGUGCGGCGGGCUCCUGCCGUGAAACCCCCCACUGUAACCCCAAAGGUUGACCUCGGAUCAGGUAGGAAUACCCGCUGAACUUAAGCAUAUCAAUAAGCGGAGGA